Molecule: long non-coding RNA, 470 nt
Filed under: Homo sapiens (human)
Lineage: Eukaryota; Metazoa; Chordata; Mammalia; Primates; Hominidae
Description: HSALNT0241771
Source: RNAcentral
CGGCUGGACCGGAGCCCAGCCAGGGCCGCGAGGAGGGGGUGGGCGGGAGUGGGGGAGGAAAGAUAACUAGGGCGUGCGCCGCCCGCUCCCUCGCUCCUCCCUGGUCCCCUCCACUCCCAGGGAGAGGGGCCCGGGUGGGGUGAUUCCCAGGUUCUAAGACCCGCCCCGCCGGGUGGAAAACUGCCCUGGAGCUAGCUCGGUCUAGCAGAGGACGCAGGACUAAGACCCAGGGGGAAUGGAUAAGGGGGCAGGUCCUGGGGGUGAGACAGAGCCACCCUUAGGCAGCAACCCUUAGGUUGCCUCGAUGGCCCUUGACCCUCUCUGAACGGACAGCCCUGCCCCGGAACUGGGAGGAAAGAAGGAAACAAGAUUGAGCGCCAAGUAGCAACCCCAGUGCCUAAGAAAUCCACCUCUCAAAUUCGCCUCUCCUCGCCCUCCUGUCCUUCGGGAAAUGCUCAGCCUACGCACAC